Molecule: ribosomal RNA, 497 nt
Filed under: uncultured bacterium
Lineage: Bacteria
Description: partial 16S ribosomal RNA
Rfam family: Bacterial small subunit ribosomal RNA
Source: RNAcentral
GAUGAACGCUGGCGGCGUGCCUAAUACAUGCAAGUCGAGCGAACAGACGAGGAGCUUGCUCCUCUGACGUUAGCGGCGGACGGGUGAGUAACACGUGGAGAACCUACCUAUAAGACUGGGAUAACUUCGGGAAACCGGAGCUAAUACCGGAUAAUAUAUUGAACCGCAUGGUUCAAUAGUGAAAGACGGUUUUGCUGUCACUUAUAGAUGUAUCCGCGCCGCAUUAGCUAGUUGGUAAGGUAACGGCUUACCAAGGCGACGAUGCGUAGCCGACCUGAGAGGGUGAUCGGCCACACUGGAACUGAGACACGGUCCAGACUCCUACGGGAGGCAGCAGUAGGGAAUCUUCCGCAAUGGGCGAAAGCCUGACGGAGCAACGCCGCGUGAGUGAUGAAGGUCUUCGGAUCGUAAAACUCUGUUAUUAGGGAAGAACAAAUGUGUAAGUAACUAUGCACGUCUUGACGGUACCUAAUCAGAAAGCCACGGCUAACUACGUG